CUGAGUGAGGGCCUCACGGCCCGACCUCCAACCCUUUGUGAACACAUCUUGUUGCUUCGGGGGCGACCCUGCCGUUCGCGGCAUUCCCCCCGGAGGUCAUCAAAACACUGCAUUCUUACGUCGGAGUAUAAAGUUAAUUUAAUA
This 144-nucleotide unclassified non-coding RNA is filed under the name uncultured Mycosphaerella. RNAcentral describes it as "sequence contains ITS1". Lineage: Eukaryota; Fungi; Ascomycota; Dothideomycetes; Mycosphaerellales; Mycosphaerellaceae. The record is from RNAcentral.